AGCGUAGACGGCUUAGCAAGUCUGAAGUGAAAGCCCGGGGCUCAACCCCGGGACUGCUUUGGAAACUGUUAAGCUGGAGUGCUGGAGAGGUAAGCGGAAUUCCUAGUGUAGCGGUGAAAUGCGUAGAUAUUAGGAGGAACACCAGUGACGAAGGCGGCCUACUGGGCACCAACUGACGCUGAGGCUCGAAAGUGUGGGUAGCAAACA
RNAcentral lists this ribosomal RNA (207 nucleotides) under uncultured bacterium. RNAcentral's name for it is "partial 16S ribosomal RNA". It matches the Rfam family "Bacterial small subunit ribosomal RNA", at positions 568 to 774 of the family's 1533-position model. The record is from RNAcentral.